AAAUUGAAGAGUUUGAUCAUGGCUCAGAUUGAACGCUGGUGGCAGGCCUAACACAUGCAAGUCGAACGGUAACAGGAAGCAGCUUGCUGCUUCGCUGACGAGUGGCGGACGGGUGAGUAAUGUCUGGGAAACUGCCUGAUGGAGGGGGAUAACUACUGGAAACGGUAGCUAAUACCGCAUAAUGUCGCAAGACCAAAGAGGGGGACCUUCGGGCCUCU
RNAcentral lists this ribosomal RNA (218 nucleotides) under Shigella sonnei. RNAcentral describes it as "partial 16S ribosomal RNA". It matches the Rfam family "Bacterial small subunit ribosomal RNA", at positions 1 to 217 of the family's 1533-position model. The record is from RNAcentral. Lineage: Bacteria; Pseudomonadati; Pseudomonadota; Gammaproteobacteria; Enterobacterales; Enterobacteriaceae.